UACAGAGGGGGCAAGCGUUAUUCGGAAUUAUUGGGCGUAAAGGGCGCGUAGGCGGCUUUGCAAGUGACAGGUGAAAUCCCUCGGCUUAACCGAGGAACUGCCCGUCAGACUGCAUUGCUCGAGACCGGGAGAGGUGAGUGGAAUUCCCAGUGUAGCGGUGAAAUGCGUAGAUAUUGGGAGGAACACCAGUGGCGAAGGCGACUCACUGGACCGGAACUGACGCUGAGGCGCGAAAGCGUGGGGAGCAAACAGG
This 253-nucleotide ribosomal RNA is filed under the name uncultured bacterium. RNAcentral's name for it is "partial 16S ribosomal RNA". It matches the Rfam family "Bacterial small subunit ribosomal RNA", at positions 524 to 776 of the family's 1533-position model. The record is from RNAcentral.